GACGGGGCCCGCACAAGCGGUGGAGCAUGUGGUUUAAUUCGAUGCAACGCGAAGAACCUUACCUGGGCUUGACAUCCCGAGAAUCCCCUGGAAACAGGGGAGUGCCUUUCGGGGAACUCGGAGACAGGUGCUGCAUGGCUGUCGUCAGCUCGUGUCGUGAGAUGUUGGGUUAAGUCCCGCAACGAGCGCAACCCUUGUCUUUAAUUGCCAGCAUUCAGUUGGGCACUUUAAAGAGACUGCCGGUGUUAAGCCGGAGGAAGGUGGGAUGACGUCAAGUCCUCAUGGCCUUUAUGCCCAGGGCUACACACGUGCUACAAUGGGUGGUACAAAGAGAUGCCAACUCGCGAGAGCGCGCCAAUCUCAGAAAGCCAUCCUCAGUUCGGAUUGGAGUCUGCAACUCGACUCCAUGAAGUUGGAAUCGCUAGUAAUCGCGGAUCAGCACGCCGCGGUGAAUACGUUCCCGGGCCUU
This 469-nucleotide ribosomal RNA is filed under the name uncultured Syntrophus sp. RNAcentral describes it as "bacterial SSU rRNA". It matches the Rfam family "Bacterial small subunit ribosomal RNA", at positions 916 to 1381 of the family's 1533-position model. Lineage: Bacteria; Pseudomonadati; Thermodesulfobacteriota; Syntrophia; Syntrophales; Syntrophaceae. The record is from RNAcentral.